Molecule: ribosomal RNA, 304 nt
Filed under: uncultured bacterium
Lineage: Bacteria
Description: bacterial SSU rRNA
Rfam family: Bacterial small subunit ribosomal RNA
Source: RNAcentral
AGAGUUUGAUCAUGGCUCAGGAUGAACGCUGGCGGCGUGCUUAACACAUGCAAGUCGAACGAAGCACUGGGGAACGGAGAUUUCGGUUGAAGUUUUCCUUUGACUGAGUGGCGGACGGGUGUGUAACGCGUGGGUAACCUGCCCUGUACAGGGGGAUAACAGUUAGAAAUGACUGCUAAUACCGCAUAAGCGCACAGCUUCGCAUGGAGCGGUGUGAAAAACUGAGGUGGUACAGGAUGGGCCCGCGUUGGAUUAGCUAGUUGGCGGAGUAACGGCCCACCAAGGCGACGAUCCAUAGCCGCGG